This 1245-nucleotide long non-coding RNA is filed under the name Homo sapiens (human). RNAcentral's name for it is "HSALNT0180549". Lineage: Eukaryota; Metazoa; Chordata; Mammalia; Primates; Hominidae. The record is from RNAcentral.
AUUAGUACCACCUGGGGAGCUAUUGGGAGAUGCCCAGGUCAUGCAUGGGCACCAACUCAGACCAAUUAAAUCAGGAACUCUGGGAGGGGGAUCCAAGCAUCAGAAUGGUUUGAUGCUCCCUAGGUAAUUACAAUAGGCAGCAAAGGCUGAGAACCACUUAGCAUAACCUGCAGUUAUAGUUCUCACAUGUGGUUGUUCCCCAUGAUAAAAACUUUAAAUUUUAACUCUAAUGUAUUUGGAAGCAACCUUAUCUGCUUGUAUCUCACAGGGAUCACUGGAUACUGCAAGGCAAUAUAGAUGGUAGACGGGCAAGAGUGGAAGCAUCUCUCCAAUUUGAAGAAGAUGGCAAAACGUUGCCCUUGCAUAACAUCAGAAGAUCCCUAAUGUCUGCCUUGAAGAGCUCUCGACAAUAGCAGCAAUGAACUACAGAAAAUGUUACAAUGUCAUUGCUACAUGAAGAGAAGAUCAAGAGAAUUCAGCCAGAAGACUGUAGAAACAAAGUCAUGAAUCAUGCUGUCCUUGGAUAACCCGGUGUCACCCAGAAUCUCUGUAUCCCUUGGAAAUGUAGACUUUCUCCAACCGCCUCUCCCUCCUUGGUGGCUUCUCUGCCUGGACAGACUUGUCUUUGUAUUAGUAGUGUCACUUUACCUCCUACUACUCAGGAACAGACCAGCCAGUCCCAUGACAAAUUUCCACAAAAUGCCAUGUAUCUUGUAAAUUUAAUGAAUCACUUUGGGAAAAGGUGGGACACAGAGAGCUUAAUGUAAAAAAACCCAUUUUUUUGGUCAGAGUGCUGAAAAAAAUAGAACUUCUUUAACAGGUUCUGAGUAGAAACAUAGCUCAAUGAAGAAAUAAAAGCACCUACUGUUUGAAAGUCCUGCUGUUAAAGUCUUACUUUUCUUCAUUACACCGGGCAUAGUGGGAAGAAAUCUGCUUCUGUUUCACUCAGGGAUAUUGUUCUGGAAUCACAGCUUUUCAGACAGGCUUCCUGUGGAUUACCAUGAGGCUAGCCCUAAAUGUUUAUAAGGGACUCCCUUGCCUAUUUCUCCCCUUGUAUCCAUCUUCAUUGUGAUUUCCUCCUAGGUCAUAAUUUGGCUCAAGGUCCUGAUUAGUUUCAAGUGGGUAAAAUGACCUAUUAUCAGAUAUGAAUCGAGGGGAAACAGAAGAAGGGCCUGUUUGGUUGGCUCUGCAGUUCAGAGCAAUGGAAGACUUUCUUUCUGUGGUAUCCAGGAGUUUGGCAGUGAC